GGUUAUUUGUUUUUGUUGUUGUUGUUUCUUUCUUUCUUUCUUUGGUGUUAAGUUUUUUGAGUUCUUUAUAUAUCCUAGAGACUAAUGCUUUAUUGGAGGUACAUGUGGUAAAGAUUUCUCCCAAUCUGUAUGCUCUCUCUUCACAUUAUUGAUUGUUUCCCCUGCUAAGAAGAAGCUUUUUAAUUCAAAUCCAUCCAAUUUAUUGAUUCCUGAUUUUAUUUCUUCAGCUUUAGGGGUCUUGUUAAGGAAGUCAAGUCCUAAGGCAGCAUGGCAAAGAUUUGGACCUACUUUUUCUUCUGUUAGGCCCAGGGUCUCUGUUCUAGUGCCUAAGUGUUUGAUCCACUUUGAGUUGAUUUUUGUGCAGGGUGAGAGAUACAGGUUUAAUUUCACUUUGCUACAUAUGGAUUUCCAGUUUUGCCAGCACCAUGUGUUGAACAUCAUUUCUCCAGUGAAUGUUUUUGGCACUUUUGUCUAGUAUGAGAUAACUGUAUUUUUGUGGGUUUGUCUCUGUGUCUACUAUUCUGUAUCAUUGGUCUACAAGUCUAUUUUGGUGCCAAUACCAUGCCAUUUUUGUUACUGUGUAUAGUUUAAAUUCUGGUAUUGUGAUGCCUCCUGCUUCACUUUUCAUGCUAAGGAUUGCGUUAGCUAUUCUGGGUCUCUUAUUUUUCCAAAUAAAUUUCAUGAUUGCUUUUA
This 693-nucleotide long non-coding RNA is filed under the name Marmota monax (woodchuck). The record is from RNAcentral. Lineage: Eukaryota; Metazoa; Chordata; Mammalia; Rodentia; Sciuridae.